UAGUGUUGUAGUUGUUAAAUAUGUGUUGCUGGGACAAAAUCUUACAUAUUUUUAAUAAACUUAUUAAAACUAUAAACCAAAUAUACUACGUGUUAAUUUAAUAAUUGUUAUAGAUUUAAUAAAAACUUUUUGGAAGAGUGGUUUUAUAAAGAUGUUGAACAGUAUUAAAAUAUUGCGGAGGUGUAUAAUUUUCCGAAGUUGUCAAUGUUCUAUAUACUUCUCGGGUGCUUCAAACGUAUCCGUAUUGAAAUCAAACAUUGAUGUCAAUUCAAAAGAAUAUCAGGAAAACUUAACAGCAAUGGAAAUGUUGGUGUAUAAUUUAAAAAAAGCCGUAAGCAAUUCGAUUGCUGGCGGUGAUUCAAAAGAUAAGUCGAGACAUACGUCCAAAGGAAAAUUACUAGUACGUGAUCGUAUAGAUUAUCUUUUGGAUACGGGUUCACCAUUUUUAGAAUUAUCUCAAUUAGCUGGACAUAAUUUGUACAAAGAAUCUGUUCCGUGCGGUGGAAUUAUUACCGGUAUAGGACGUAUUUCUGGGAAGGAAUGUAUGAUUAUUGCGAAUGAUGCUACAGUGAAAGGAGGUUCUUACUUUCCUAUCACGGUAAAAAAACAUUUAAGGGCACAGGAAAUAGCCAGUGAGAAUAAUUUACCAUGCGUUUAUUUGGUCGACUCUGGCGGUGGUUAUUUGAAAAAACAGGCAGAAAUUUUUCCCGACAGAGAACAUUUUGGGAGAAUAUUUUUCAAUGAAGCUAUUAUGUCUUCAAAAAAUAUUACUCAAAUAGCCGUAGUGAUGGGGAGCUGUACGGCAGGCGCUGCUUACUUACCUGCCAUGGCUGAUGAGAGUGUAAUUGUGAGAAAUACCGGAACAAUUUUUCUUGCUGGUCCUCCGUUAGUAAAGGCUGCGACAGGAGAAGUUGUGUCUGCCGAGGAUUUAGGUGGUGCGAAACUUCACUGCUCAGUGUCUGGAGUUUCUGAUCAUUACGCCAAUGAUGAUUACCACGCAUUACAUAUAACUAAAAACAUCAUUGAAAAUUUGAAUAAUAACAAUAACAAACAAGGUUUAAAUAGUAGUACUGAUGAGCCUGAGCUACCGUUAUAUCCUGCCAAAGAAUUAUAUGGCAUUGUUGGAGAUAAUUUAAAAAAAAAUUACGAUGUCAGAGAGGUUAUUGCAAGAAUAGUAGAUGGAUCUGUAUUUUCUGAGUUUAAAAAAAAUUACGGAGAAACACUGGUAACUGGAUUUGCUAAAAUCUGUGGUUAUCCUAUCGGUAUUAUUGGUAAUAAUGGUGUGCUAUUUUCUGAGUCGGCGUUAAAGGGGACACAUUUCAUUGAAUUAUGUUGUCAACGAAAUAUUCCGCUUUUAUUUUUUCAAAACAUAACUGGAUUUAUGGUUGGAAAAGAUGCCGAGGCUGGUGGUAUUGCUAAAAAUGGUGCUAAAAUGGUAACAGCUGUAUCCUGUGCCUCUGUCCCUAAAAUUACUGUUGUGAUCGGUGGUUCUUAUGGAGCUGGAAAUUAUGGAAUGUGUGGUCGAGCGUAUGGACCCAGAUUUAUGUAUAUGUGGCCUAAUUCUCGAAUCAGUAUAAUGGGUGGUGAACAAGCAGCAGGAGUUCUUGCUCAAAUUCAAAGCGAAAAGAAGAUUAGAGAAGGAAAACAGUUGUCCAAAGAAGAAGAAAAAAUGUUAAAAGAUCCGGUGAUAAGACAGUUUGAAAACGAAGGAAAUCCUUUUUAUUCAAGUGCAAGGUGUUGGGAUGAUGGAAUUAUUGAUCCAGUUCAAACGAGACAAGUUUUGGCGUUGAGUUUGUCUGCCAUCCACAAUGCACCCGUGCAGCAGACCAAAUAUGGAAUUUUUAGAAUGUAGAUAGUUAGUUGAUUACAAUGUUCCAAUUUUAAAUUGUACUAGAACAAUUAUGUACGAUAUGGCCACUCCGAGAUACUGUAAACAAAUCACUGUAUUCAAGGCAUGGCCUCAAGUUUUUUUCGAAUUAUAUUAUAUUGUUAUUUACUUACGGUUAUUAAGUAAACACGGUCCAAAGUAAAAUAACCACCUACAGUUAUUUCGGAUACGAAGUAAUCAUUAAAUUCCUGUUUAAAAUUACCUGCUCUUGAGUUUCUAAACUGAACUUACUGCAAGCCAUCGACUGUAUCGCUACCAUGGUUUUAAAUCCUACCUAUAUUAAGAGAUAACUCAGUGGUUAUAAUAUACAUUGUAUUGUUUUAAAAUAUAUGUAAUAAACAUAACAAGUCCAAUGUGCACUGA
RNA transcript from Sipha flava (yellow sugarcane aphid), 2251 nucleotides. It is a transcript of the gene named methylcrotonoyl-CoA carboxylase beta chain, mitochondrial, with no coding region annotated. The transcript is spliced from 12 exons. The record is from RefSeq and is a predicted model, not a curated record. NCBI's taxonomy places the organism in Eukaryota, Metazoa, Arthropoda, Insecta, Hemiptera, Aphididae.